UAAACAGAAGUAUUAACUACAUUUGACUUCGAAUCAAAAAAAGGCGCAAGCCCUGUUUAA
RNAcentral lists this transfer RNA (60 nucleotides) under Grandidierella japonica. RNAcentral describes it as "tRNA-Arg". The record is from RNAcentral. Lineage: Eukaryota; Metazoa; Arthropoda; Malacostraca; Amphipoda; Corophiidae.